RNAcentral lists this ribosomal RNA (369 nucleotides) under uncultured phototrophic eukaryote. RNAcentral's name for it is "SSU rRNA". It matches the Rfam family "Bacterial small subunit ribosomal RNA", at positions 524 to 896 of the family's 1533-position model. The record is from RNAcentral.
UACGGGGGAUGCAAGCGUUAUCCGGAAUCAUUGGGCGUAAAGCGCCUGUAGGUUGUUUAGUAAGUCUGUUGUUAAAGACUGGGGCUUAACCCCAGAAAAGCAAUGGAAACUGCUAGACUAGAGUAUGGCAGGGGUAGAGGGAAUUUCUAGUGUAGCGGUGAAAUGCGUAGAUAUUAGAAAGAACACCGGUGGCGAAAGCGCUCUACUGGACCAUUACUGACACUCAGGGGCGAAAGCUAGGGUAGCAAAAGGGAUUAGAUACCCCUGUAGUCCUAGCCGUAAACGAUGGAUACUAGAUGUUGUAUUUAUUUUACAGUGUCCUAGCUAACGCGUUAAGUAUCCCGCCUGGGGAGUACGCUCGCAAGGGUG